UUGUGAUGUUGUGAUUUAAUACGUAUAUUGUGACAUCAAAGGCUUCUAUACACUUCACGUCGAAGACAUUGCCAGGUGGGGAGUUUGACUGGGGCGGUACAUCUCCAAAAUAAUAACGGAGGUGUCCAAAGGUCAGCUCAGUGUGGACAGAAACCACACGUUGAGUAUAAGGACAAAAGCUGGCUUGAUCUUGAUAUUCAGUACGUAUCGGGACGGCUAAUGCCUGGCCUUACGAUCCUUUUGGCUUUAAAGAGUUUUUAACAAGAGGUGUCAGAAAAGUUACCACAGGGAUAACCGGC
RNAcentral lists this ribosomal RNA (299 nucleotides) under Chrysochromulina rotalis. RNAcentral's name for it is "partial Eukaryotic large subunit ribosomal RNA". It matches the Rfam family "Eukaryotic large subunit ribosomal RNA", at positions 2549 to 2834 of the family's 3401-position model. Lineage: Eukaryota; Haptophyta; Prymnesiales; Chrysochromulinaceae. The record is from RNAcentral.